Molecule: long non-coding RNA, 811 nt
Organism: Cloeon dipterum
Lineage: Eukaryota; Metazoa; Arthropoda; Insecta; Ephemeroptera; Baetidae
Exons: 2
Source: RefSeq, a predicted model, not a curated record
GCCAUUAAAAUUAAUCAUGGUUGAAAUGUUUAAAGACAAAACUUUUAACAAAAUUUACUUUUGAGCUACUUUUAAAGUUUUCAGCGAUAAAAAAUGCACAGAAAAAAAAAUUUUCAUAGCAAGAACGCAUUUAAAAUUUAAUAGAGCCUGAUGUGAAAAAUCAAAACAUAUUUUAAAAUACUUUAUUUUGUCACACCCUAAUUUCCUAUCCCUAUAUAAUACAAUUAUUAUGUUAAAAACAGCAAAAUAGAGCUAAUUUCUUGCAAUUGUUAACUUAUUUUCGUGGGAGGAAUAAGCUUCUUGGUUAAAAUGAAAAUUUAAUUUAUUUUCUCAGAAACUGAGCCAUGCCAAACCUGACGAGAGGUGGCGACCAAAACGUUCAUAUUAAUAAUUAGCUUCUCGCGCGUUUAACCAGUUCUCAGUGUUCAAGAGGCAGCCACGCUGUGAACAACACAAUGAUGCUCUUCAGGUACUUCUUUUGCGUUCUGCUGGCCCUUACCUCCAUCAUCGGAGCUGUCUCGGCGUUACCUGUCGCAGAUGAUGAUUCGUUAACUGAGAGCCCAACAACAAUAGAAGAGGAUCAACCAAUUCAAUUCGCUCUUACACGCAUAUUGGUUCCUCAAAAUAGGGUCCGCGGCAAAACAAGUAGCGGUUGAAAUAUGAGAACUGGAACAAAGAGACGAAUAUAGAAGUAAAAACUCACGAUAUUUGUUGUUUCGAUUUAUUAACCUGUAAUUUUAGAAGAAAAUUAUUGUAAUAAAUUGUUGAGCUUUUAAUUUAUAUUAAAAGAAUAAAACUAAUUUUAAUUCAA